GAGUUUGAUCGUGGCUCAGAGCGAACGUUAGCGGCGGGCCUAACACAUGCAAGUCGAGCGAGAAAAGGGCUUCGGCCCUUAGUAAAGCGGCGGACGGGUGAGUAACACGUAGGUAAUCUUCCCUUGAGCGGGGGACAACGAGGCGAAAGCCUCGCUAAUACCGCAUAAGUUCCAGAGGACCCCGGUCUUCUGGAGGAAAGCUAGGUAGCAAUAUCCGGCACUCGAGGAGGAGCCUGCGUCGCAUCAGCUAGUUGGUGGGGUAACGGCCUACCAAGGCGAAGACGCGUAGCUGGUCUGAGAGGAUGAUCAGCCACACUGGGACUGAGACACGGCCCAGACUCCUACGGGAGGCAGCAGUGGGGAAUAUUGGACAAUGGGCGCAAGCCUGAUCCAGCCACGCCGCGUGAGUGAUGAAGGCC
RNAcentral lists this ribosomal RNA (419 nucleotides) under uncultured delta proteobacterium. Its description in RNAcentral is "bacterial SSU rRNA". It matches the Rfam family "Bacterial small subunit ribosomal RNA", at positions 9 to 416 of the family's 1533-position model. The record is from RNAcentral. Lineage: Bacteria; Deltaproteobacteria.